UGGGGAAUUUUUCGCAAUGGGGGAAACCCUGACGAAGCAACGCCGCGUGGAGGAUGAAGGCCUUCGGGUCGUAAACUCCUGUCGACCGGGACGAAAGUGGUUCGACCUAAUACGUCGAGCCAUCGACUGUACCGGUGGAGGAAGCCACGGCUAACUCUGUGCCAGCAGCCGCGGUAAUACGUAGGGACCAAGCGUUGUUCGGAUUUACUGGGCGUAAAGGGCGCGUAGGCGGCAUGACAAGUCACUUGUGAAAUCUCUGGGCUUAACCCAGAACGGCCAAGUGAUACUGUCGCGCUAGAGUGCAGAAGGGGCAAUCGGAAUUCUUGGUGUAGCGGUGAAAUGCGUAGAUAUCAAGAGGAACACCUGAGGUGAAGACGGGUUGCUGGGCUGACACUGACGCUGAGGCGCGAAAGCCAGGGGAGCAAACGGGAUUAGAUACCCAUGUAGUCCCUGAGCGGGCUGGCAAGGCG
Molecule: ribosomal RNA, 470 nt
Filed under: uncultured bacterium
Lineage: Bacteria
Description: bacterial SSU rRNA
Rfam family: Bacterial small subunit ribosomal RNA
Source: RNAcentral